AAGCGGAGGAAAAAGAAACCAACAGGGAUUGCCCUAGUAACGGCGAGUGAAGCGGCAACAGCUCAAAUUUGAAAUCUGGCUCCUUCGGGGUCCGAGUUGUAAUUUGCAGAAGAGUCUUCUGGUGUGGCCCCGGUCUAAGUCCCUUGGCACAGGACGUCAUAGAGGGUGAGAACCCCGUAUGUGACCGGUGGCCUAUGCCUCUGUGAAGCUCUUUCAACGAGUCGAGUUGUUUGGGAAUGCAGCUCAAAUUGGGUGGUAUAUUCCAUCUAAAGCUAAAUAUUGGCCAGAGACCGAUAGCGCACAAGUAGAGUGAUCGAAAGAUGAAAAGCACUUUGAAAAGAGAGUUAAAUAGUACGUGAAAUUGUUAAAAGGGAAGCUCUUGCUACCAGACGCGGGCGCCGUUGAUCAUCCUAGGUUCUCCUGGGUGCACUCGGCGGUGCUCGGGUCAGCAUCGGUUUGGGUGGUGGGACAAAGGCCUUGGGAAUGUAGCUCCCCUUCGGGGGAGUAUUAUAGCCCUCGGUGUAAUGCCACCUACCCGGACCGAGGACCGCGCUUCGGCGAGGAUGCUGGCAUAAUGGUCGUAAGCGGCCCGUCUUGAAACACGGACCAAGGAGUCUAACAUCUAUGCGAGUGUUUGGGUGGUAAACCCAUUCGCGGAAUGAAAGUGAACGCAGCUGAGAACCCUUCGGGGCGCACCAGCGACCGAUCCUGAUGUCUUCGGACGGAUUUGAGUAUGAGCAUAGCUGUUGGGACCCGAAAGAUGGUGAACUAUGCUUGCAUAGGGUGAAGCCAGAGGAAACUCUGGUGGAGGCUCGCAGCGGUUCUGACGUGCAAUCGAUCGUCAAUGUGGGCAUAGGGGCGAAAGACUAAUCGAACCAUCUA
This 882-nucleotide ribosomal RNA is filed under the name Helotiales sp. Its description in RNAcentral is "partial large subunit ribosomal RNA". It matches the Rfam family "Eukaryotic large subunit ribosomal RNA", at positions 48 to 946 of the family's 3401-position model. The record is from RNAcentral. Lineage: Eukaryota; Fungi; Ascomycota; Leotiomycetes; Helotiales.